CAAAAACAUGGCCUCUUGGAAAAUAUAGGAGGUCUGACCUGCCCAGUGAUAUUAUUUUAACGGCCGCGGUAUAUUGACCGUGCAAAGGUAGCAUAAUCAUUAGUCUUUUAAAAGAGGGCUGGAAUGAAAGGUUUGACGAGGUGUUAACUGUCUCAUUUUAUUUGAUUUUAAAAUUUAACUUUUUAGUCAAAAGGCUAAAAUUUAAUUGGAAGACGAGAAGACCCUAUAGAGCUUUAUAUUUUUUUCUUUUAAUAAUUUUAUAUAAUUUAUUAUUAUGGGAAUUAGUAUUUUGUUGGGGUGACAAAAAUAUAUAAUAAACUUUUUUAUUUACUUAACAUUGAUAUAUGAAUAUUAGAUCCUUUAUUAUUGAUUAUUAGAUUAAGUUACCUUAGGGAUAACAGCGUAAUCCUCCCCCANAGUUCAUAUUUACGGGUAGGGCUUGCGACCUCGAUGUUGGAUUAAGAUAAUACUUAGGUGUAGCCGCUUAAGGUAUAGGUCUGUUCGACCUUUAAAUUCUUACAUGAUCUGAG
RNAcentral lists this ribosomal RNA (530 nucleotides) under Eusynthemis brevistyla. RNAcentral's name for it is "partial 16S ribosomal RNA". It matches the Rfam family "Bacterial large subunit ribosomal RNA", at positions 1808 to 2609 of the family's 2925-position model. The record is from RNAcentral. Lineage: Eukaryota; Metazoa; Arthropoda; Insecta; Odonata; Synthemistidae.